CGAACAAAACGCCGCUAUUCGGAUAUAACGAUGGAUUAUUUUGGACCAAACCAACAUUUGUUAUUGAAGUAGACGUCCUGGGUGUGCAUUCUGACGAAGACAACAAAAGGAACCAUGUUCGCGUCUUCAGACUGUUUACGGAAACCACCCUGGCUCUCCUCCUGUCCUACUGCCCUGGAAUGGAUGUCGUCUUCAGACUGUUUACGGAAACCACCCUGGCUCUCCUCCUGUCCUACUGCCCUGGAAUGGAUGUCGUCUUCAGAAUAUACCCACUCUAGCCAGUAGACCCUACAGAUUCAGUAUAUCAGCUUGGAACAAAGGCCUUGCUGGUGGUUCUGUGCCUUACCCUACUCUCUGCUCAUCUUCCUCUAUGAUGAAAUACAUCCUGCGACAAAAUUCAGGAGGUUGGGUGGACAAGGAGUAUGAAGGAUCUUGUUUGGAGACUUCUUCCUGGUUAACCUGAUCCUGUGGGUGGAGGGCAGCCAUCCCCUUCGCCGCUCUGGUGGCCAUCUUGGCUUUGAGGUUUGCCAUCUCCAUGCCCUUUACCUUUGUGGGCGCCUAGCCUACUUCGGCUUCAAGAGACCUGCUGUGUUUCAGAGUACUGUGGUGCCCUUGAGGUAGAGUAAACACCGAUCGACUUCACCCUCCUGUCCAGAGCCCAGACAUGAAAGGCUUAGUUCUCCUGCAAGCCUGAAAAUACAGAGAGCUCAGGCUUUGAUCCUCCAUGGGGUUGACUCCAGAGCGACCCCCUGUUUUCCCACUGCCAGCCCAAUCAAAGCCCUCUGCUCCCCACCAGACCUUAGGAUGGAGCAAAACGAGUGUGGAUUCAAAGUUGGAGAGAAAAGACUCAAAGAGUAAUCAAUUACUGUACCUGGAGUGUAAAUAAGACAUUAUACCAGGUGUCAGGUGUACACAGGAAGACCAACUCUAUACGCAAUCGACACGGAAGCAAUUUUUUUAACAAAAAUUGAUUUCAUUUGGUGUCACGCCCUGGCCAUAGAGGGUUUUAUUCUCUAUUUUGGUUAGGACAGGGUGUGACUAGGGUGGGCAUUCAAUGUCCUUUUUUUCUAUGUUUUUGUAUUUCUUUGUUUUGGCCUGGUGUGGCUCUCAAUCAGGGACAGCUGUACAUCGUUGUCGCUGAUUGGGAGCCAUACUUAGGCAGCCUGUUUUCCUUUGGGUUUUUGUGGGUAGUUGUUUUCUGUCUUGUGUUUUUGACCUGACAGAACUGUUGGCUUUCGUUUUUGUUUCUUUGUUUAAGUGUUUUGUCAUUUAUAAUAAAUUAUGACCACUUA
Molecule: long non-coding RNA, 1292 nt
Filed under: Salmo salar (Atlantic salmon)
Lineage: Eukaryota; Metazoa; Chordata; Actinopteri; Salmoniformes; Salmonidae
Description: lncRNA (ENSSSAG00000098829.1)
Source: RNAcentral